AAAAAGAUAAGCUAAUAAAGCUUUUAGGCUCAUACCCUAACUAUAGAAAAUCUCUUCUUUUUA
This 63-nucleotide transfer RNA is filed under the name Pristaulacus compressus. RNAcentral describes it as "tRNA-Met". The record is from RNAcentral. Lineage: Eukaryota; Metazoa; Arthropoda; Insecta; Hymenoptera; Aulacidae.